GAGUGAGAGGGAAGAGCCCAAGAUUGAAAGCUGGCGCCUUCGGCGUCCGCAUUGUAAUCUCAAGAAGUGUUUUCCGCUUCGGACCAUGCCUAAGUCCCUUGGAAAAGGGCAUCAUAGAGGGUGAUAAUCCCGUACAUGGCAUGGAGCGCCCGAAGCUUUGUGAUACGCUUUCUAAGAGUCGAGUUGUUUGGGAAUGCAGCUCAAAAUGGGUGGUAAAUGCCAUCUAAGGCUAAAUAUUGGGGAGAGACCGAUAGCGAACAAGUACAGUGAUGGAAAGAUGAAAAGAACUUUGAAAAGAGAGUUAAACAGUACGUGAAAUUGCCAAAAGGGAAGGGUAGGAGGUCAGAGAUGCGUCGCAGGAUUCAGCCUUGCUUUUGCUUGGUGUUUUUCCUGCGUUGCAGGCCAACGUCGGUUUUGGGCACUGGAGAAGGGUAGGAGGAACGUGGCACCUCUCGGGGUGUGUUAUAGCCUCCUACUGGAUACAGCGACCGAGACCGAGGAACGCAGCGUACUCGUAAGAGCGGGCCUUUUGGCACCUUUACGCUUAGGGCGUUGGCAUAAUGGCCCUCUACCACCCGUCUUG
RNAcentral lists this ribosomal RNA (583 nucleotides) under Pseudozyma hubeiensis. Its description in RNAcentral is "partial large subunit ribosomal RNA". It matches the Rfam family "Eukaryotic large subunit ribosomal RNA", at positions 91 to 656 of the family's 3401-position model. The record is from RNAcentral. Lineage: Eukaryota; Fungi; Basidiomycota; Ustilaginomycetes; Ustilaginales; Ustilaginaceae.